AUACGUAGGUGGCAAGCGUUGUCCGGAAUUAUUGGGCGUAAAGCGCGCGCAGGCGGUCCUUUAAGUCUGAUGUGAAAGCCCACGGCUCAACCGUGGAGGGGCAUUGGAAACUGGAGGACUUGAGUGCAGAAGAGGGAAGUGGAAUUCCAAGUGUAGCGGUGAAAUGCGUAGAGAUUUGGAGGAACACCAGUGGCGAAGGCGACUUUCUGGUCUGUAACUGACGCUGAGGCGCGAAAGCGUGGGGAGCAAACAGGAUUAGAUACCCUGGUAGUCCACGCCGUAAACGAUGAGUGCUAAGUGUUAGGGGGUUUCCGCCCCUUAGUGCUGCAGCUAACGCAUUAAGCACUCCGCCUGGGGAGUACGGUCGCAAGACUGAAACUCAAAUGAAUUGGCGGGG
RNAcentral lists this ribosomal RNA (397 nucleotides) under uncultured bacterium. Its description in RNAcentral is "partial 16S ribosomal RNA". It matches the Rfam family "Bacterial small subunit ribosomal RNA", at positions 523 to 918 of the family's 1533-position model. The record is from RNAcentral.